UACGUAGGGUCCGAGCGUUGUCCGGAAUUACUGGGCGUAAAGCGUGCGUAGACGGUUAUUUAAGUCAGGUGUGAAAGCCCCGGGCUCAACCUGGGAAUUGCAUUUGAGACUGAAUAGCUAGGGUGCGGAAGAGGGAAGCGGAAUUUCCGGUGUAGCGGUGAAAUGCGUAGAUAUCGGAAGGAACACCAGUGGCGAAAGCGGCUUCCUGGUCCAGCACCGACGUUCAGGCACGAAAGCGUGGGGAGCAAACAGG
RNAcentral lists this ribosomal RNA (253 nucleotides) under uncultured bacterium. RNAcentral's name for it is "partial 16S ribosomal RNA". It matches the Rfam family "Bacterial small subunit ribosomal RNA", at positions 524 to 776 of the family's 1533-position model. The record is from RNAcentral.